This 547-nucleotide long non-coding RNA is filed under the name Drosophila guanche. The record is from RNAcentral. Lineage: Eukaryota; Metazoa; Arthropoda; Insecta; Diptera; Drosophilidae.
GUAGCCCUUUAGCCUGCCGAUAUCUGAGCAUGGGUUAAAGCUGCAUUUUAAUUUAUAUCGUCUGUCAGAGAGAGCGGCGGCAUUGUGCCCUUGUGGCACCUCUGCGACCGGUCAAAGGUGUCACACAUAAACCAUUCAAUCUGACAGUCAGUCGGGGCGGAGCGGAGCCGAGGAGAGCGAGACUCGAGCGAUAGAUGGGAGAAGACAAUGCCCCCGACGUUGACCGCAGUCAAACUUUCGAUUUCAGUUUGUCAGCGUGGAACAGAACCGAACCGAACAGGACACGUUUGCCACAGCCAUUUCACCGUUAGCUAGGUUAGCCGUGUGCUGCAAUUUAUUUUUGUCUGUAGAGAGGGAGAGAGAGAGAGAGCUGCUGUUGCUGCCCCCCUCUCCCAGUCGAUUCAGUUCGGUGGUGCAAAUUGCGAGUGGGUGGUGGCUUGGUGGUUGUUGCAGAAAAACCAAUUUGUAAUAAAGACGGAGAGGAGAGACAUGUACCCAUAGACAGUAUUGUGGGGGCGGAAUGAAUCGAGUGGGAUUAUGUGGCAUC